RNAcentral lists this ribosomal RNA (497 nucleotides) under uncultured bacterium. RNAcentral's name for it is "partial 16S ribosomal RNA". It matches the Rfam family "Bacterial small subunit ribosomal RNA", at positions 28 to 507 of the family's 1533-position model. The record is from RNAcentral.
GAUGAACGCUGGCGGCGUGCCUAAUACAUGCAAGUCGAGCGAACAGACGAGGAGCUUGCUCCUCUGACGUUAGCGGCGGACGGGUGAGUAACACGUGGAUAACCUACCUAUAAGACUGGGAUAACUUCGGGAAACCGGAGCUAAUACCGGAUAAUAUAUUGAACCGCAUGGUUCAAUAGUGAAAGACGGUUUUGCUGUCACUUAUAGAUGGAUCCGCGCCGCAUUAGCUAGGUGGUAAGGUAACGGCUUACCAAGGCAACGAUGCGUAGCCGACCUGAGAGGGUGAUCGGCCACACUGGAACUGAGACACGGUCCAGACUCCUACGGGAGGCAGCAGUAGGGAAUCUUCCGCAAUGGGCGAAAGCCUGACGGAGCAACGCCGCGUGAGUGAUGAAGGUCUUCGGAUCGUAAAACUCUGUUAUUAGGGAAGAAAAAAUGUGUAAGUAACUAUGCACGUCUUGACGGUACCUAAUCAGAAAGCCACGGCUAACUACGUG